RNAcentral lists this ribosomal RNA (360 nucleotides) under uncultured Alphaproteobacteria bacterium. Its description in RNAcentral is "bacterial SSU rRNA". It matches the Rfam family "Bacterial small subunit ribosomal RNA", at positions 35 to 413 of the family's 1533-position model. Lineage: Bacteria; Pseudomonadati; Pseudomonadota; Alphaproteobacteria. The record is from RNAcentral.
GCUGGCGGCAGGCCUAACACAUGCAAGUCGAGGGAGAAGCUGACUUCGGUCAGUGGGCACCGGCGCACGGGUGAGUAACGCGUGGAAACCUACCCCGGGGUGGGGGAUAACCGCUGGAAACGGCGGCUAAUACCGCAUACGCCUUUUAAGGGAAAGAUUUAUCGCCCUGGGAUGGGUCCGCGUUAGAUUAGGUAGUUGGUGGGGUAAAGGCCUACCAAGCCGACGAUCUAUAGCUGGUCUGAGAGGAUGAUCAGCCACACUGGGACUGAGACACGGCCCAGACUCCUACGGGAGGCAGCAGUGGGGAAUCUUGGACAAUGGGGGCAACCCUGAUCCAGCCAUGCCGCGUGAGUGAAGAAG